This 520-nucleotide ribosomal RNA is filed under the name uncultured bacterium. RNAcentral's name for it is "bacterial SSU rRNA". It matches the Rfam family "Bacterial small subunit ribosomal RNA", at positions 28 to 537 of the family's 1533-position model. The record is from RNAcentral.
GAUGAACGCUGGCGGCGUGCCUCAAACAUGCAAGUCGAGCGGGGCUAUGUUGGACCGUAAGGGAAGAUAUAGCCUAGCGGCGAACGGGUGAGUAACACGUGGGUAACCUACCUGGAAGACAGGGAUAACGAUUCGAAAGGGUCGCUAAUACCUGAUAAUAUCUAACAGUCGGAUGGCAGUUAGAAGAAAGGGGAAACCCGCUUUCAGAUGGGCCCGCGUCCCAUCAGCUAGUUGGUAAGGUAAAGGCUUACCAAGGCGACGACGGGUAGCCGGUCUGAGAGGAUGUACGGCCACACUGGGACUGAGAUACGGCCCAGACUCCUACGGGAGGCAGCAGUUGGGGAAUAUUGCACAAUGGGCGAAAGCCUGAUGCAGCGACGCCGCGUGAGGGAUGACGGCCUCGGUUGUUAACGUACUUUCUAGUCAGGAAGAAGACGAAAGUAGACGGUAACCGUCGCAGAAGAAAGACACCGGACGUAACUAACGUGCCACGCAGCCGCGGUAACGUAAUACACGUGUA